RNAcentral lists this ribosomal RNA (567 nucleotides) under Nigrospora sp. ZJ-2008018. Its description in RNAcentral is "eukaryotic LSU rRNA". The stretch from base 193 to 346 matches the Rfam family "5.8S ribosomal RNA". Lineage: Eukaryota; Fungi; Ascomycota; Sordariomycetes; Amphisphaeriales; Apiosporaceae. The record is from RNAcentral.
AAUUAUGGUCUCCGUUGGUGACCAGCGGAGGGAUCAUUACAGAGUUAUCCAACUCCCAAACCCAUGUGAACUUAUCUCUUUGUUGCCUCGGCGCAAGCUACCCGGGACCUCGCGCCCCGGGGGGCCCGCCGGCGGACAAACCAAACUCUGUUAUCUUCGUUGAUUAUCUGAGUGUCUUAUUUAAUAAGUCAAAACUUUCAACAACGGAUCUCUUGGUUCUGGCAUCGAUGAAGAACGCAGCGAAAUGCGAUAAGUAAUGUGAAUUGCAGAAUUCAGUGAAUCAUCGAAUCUUUGAACGCACAUUGCGCCCAUUAGUAUUCUAGUGGGCAUGCCUGUUCGAGCGUCAUUUCAACCCCUAAGCACAGCUUAUUGUUGGGACUCUACGGCUUCGUAGUUCCCCAAAGACAUUGGCGGAGUGGCAGCAGUCCUCUGAGCGUAGUAAUUCUUUAUCUCGCUUUUGUUAGGCGCUGCCCCCCCGGCCGUAAAACCCCCAAUUUUUUCUGGUUGACCUCGGAUCAGGUAGGAAUACCCGCUGAACUUAAGCAUAUCAAUAAGCCGGGAGGACAA